GACGAGGGGUCCAAGCGUUGUUCGGAAUUAUUGGGCGUAAAGCGGGUGUAGGUGGCUCUAUAAGUCAGGAGUGAAAUCCCCAAGCUUAACUUGGGAAGUGCUUUUGAUACUGCAGAGCUUGAAUGUGGGAGAGGAUAAUAGAAUUCCCGGUGUAGCGGUGAAAUGCGCAGAUAUCGGGAGGAACACCAACGGCGAAGGCAGCACUCUGGGCUGGAACUGACGCUGAGGAGCGAAAGCGUGGGUAGCAAACAGG
Molecule: ribosomal RNA, 253 nt
Filed under: uncultured bacterium
Lineage: Bacteria
Description: partial 16S ribosomal RNA
Rfam family: Bacterial small subunit ribosomal RNA
Source: RNAcentral